This 802-nucleotide ribosomal RNA is filed under the name Trueperella abortisuis. RNAcentral describes it as "bacterial SSU rRNA". It matches the Rfam family "Bacterial small subunit ribosomal RNA", at positions 1 to 802 of the family's 1533-position model. Lineage: Bacteria; Bacillati; Actinomycetota; Actinomycetes; Actinomycetales; Actinomycetaceae. The record is from RNAcentral.
AGAUAGAAGUUUUGAUUCCUGGCUUCAGGACGAACGCUGGCGGCGUGCUUAACACAUGCAAGUCGAACGAUGAAGCUGAAGCUUUUGUUUUGGUGGAUUAGUGGCGAAACGGGUGAGUAAUACGUGAGUAACCUGCCCUUUGUCUUUGGGAUAAGCCUGGGAAACUGGGUCUAAUACCCGGAUAUUCUGCUUCUGCCGCAUGGUGGGGGUUGGAAAGAAUUUUUGGAUGGGGAUGGGCUCACGGCCUAUCAGCUUGUUGGUGGGGUGAUGGCCUACCAAGGCGUCGACGGGUAGCCGGCCUGAGAGGGUGACCGGCCACAUUGGGACUGAGAUACGGCCCAGACUCCUACGGGAGGCAGCAGUGGGGAAUAUUGCACAAUGGACGCAAGUCUGAUGCAGCGACGCCGCGUGGGGGAUGAAGGCUUUCGGGUUGUAAACUCCUUUCAGUACAGAACAAGGCCUUUGUGGUUGAGGGUAUGUGCAGAAGAAGCGCCGGCUAACUACGUGCCAGCAGCCGCGGUAAUACGUAGGGCGCGAGCGUUGUCCGGAAUUAUUGGGCGUAAAGAGCUCGUAGGCGGUUUGUUGCGCCUGCUGUGAAAGACCGGGGCUUAACUUCGGGGUUGCAGUGGGUACGGGCAGACUAGAGUGUGGUAGGGGUAAUUGGAAUUCCUGGUGUAGCGGUGGAAUGCGCAGAUAUCAGGAGGAACACCGAUGGCGAAGGCAGGUUACUGGGCCAUUACUGACGCUGAGGAGCGAAAGUGUGAGUAGCGAACAGGAUUAGAUACCCUGGUAGUCCACGCCG